AGAGCGAACGCUGGCGGCAGGCUUAACACAUGCAAGUCGAGCGGGCGUAGCAAUACGUCAGCGGCAGACGGGUGAGUAACGCGUGGGAACGUACCUUUUGGUUCGGAACAACCCAGGGAAACUUGGGCUAAAUACCGGAUAAGCCCUUACGGGGAAAGAUUUAUCGCCGAAAGAUCGGCCCGCGUCUGAUUAGCUAGUUGGUGGGGUAAUGGCCCACCAAGGCGACGAUCAGUAGCUGGUCUGAGAGGAUGAUCAGCCACAUUGGGACUGAGACACGGCCCAAACUCCUACGGGAGGCAGCAGUGGGGAAUAUUGGACAAUGGGCGCAAGCCUGAUCCAGCCAUGCCGCGUGAGUGAUGAAGGCCCUAGGGUUGUAAAGCUCUUUUGUGCGGGAAGAUAAUGACGGUACCGCAAGAUAAGCCCCGGCUAACUUCGUGCCAGCAGCCGC
This 448-nucleotide ribosomal RNA is filed under the name uncultured bacterium. RNAcentral's name for it is "SSU rRNA". It matches the Rfam family "Bacterial small subunit ribosomal RNA", at positions 26 to 518 of the family's 1533-position model. The record is from RNAcentral.